This 427-nucleotide ribosomal RNA is filed under the name Gemmatimonadota bacterium. Its description in RNAcentral is "Gemmatimonadetes bacterium partial 16S ribosomal RNA". It matches the Rfam family "Bacterial small subunit ribosomal RNA", at positions 355 to 776 of the family's 1533-position model. Lineage: Bacteria; Pseudomonadati; Gemmatimonadota. The record is from RNAcentral.
UAGGGAAUCUUCGGCAAUGGACGAAAGUCUGACCGAGCAACGCCGCGUGAGUGAAGAAGGUUUUCGGAUCGUAAAACUCUGUUGUUAGAAGAACAAGGACGUUAGUAACUGAACGUCCCCUGACGGUAUCUAACCAGAAAGCCACGGCUAACUACGUGCCAGCAGCCGCGGUAAUACGUAGGUGGCAAGCGUUGUCCGGAUUUAUUGGGCGUAAAGCGAGCGCAGGCGGUUUCUUAAGUCUGAUGUGAAAGCCCCCGGCUCAACCGGGGAGGGUCAUUGGAAACUGGGAGACUUGAGUGCAGAAGAGGAGAGUGGAAUUCCAUGUGUAGCGGUGAAAUGCGUAGAUAUAUGGAGGAACACCAGUGGCGAAGGCGGCUCUCUGGUCUGUAACUGACGCUGAGGCUCGAAAGCGUGGGGAGCAAACAGG